Molecule: ribosomal RNA, 636 nt
Filed under: Bacillus sp. (in: firmicutes)
Lineage: Bacteria; Bacillati; Bacillota; Bacilli; Caryophanales; Bacillaceae
Description: bacterial SSU rRNA
Rfam family: Bacterial small subunit ribosomal RNA
Source: RNAcentral
GGCGUGCCUAUACAUGCAAGUCGAGCGAAUCGACGGGAGCUUGCUCCCUUAGAUUAGCGGCGGACGGGUGAGUAACACGUGGGUAACCUGCCUAUAAGACUGGGAUAACUUCGGGAAACCGGAGCUAAUACCGGAUAAUUUCUUCCCUCGCAUGAGGGAAGAUGGAAAGACGGUUCUGCUGUCACUUAUAGAUGGACCCGCGGCGCAUUAGCUAGUUGGUGAGGUAAUGGCUCACCAAGGCGACGAUGCGUAGCCGACCUGAGAGGGUGAUCGGCCACACUGGGACUGAGACACGGCCCAGACUCCUACGGGAGGCAGCAGUAGGGAAUCUUCCGCAAUGGACGAAAGUCUGACGGAGCAACGCCGCGUGAACGAAGAAGGCCUUCGGGUCGUAAAGUUCUGUUGUUAGGGAAGAACAAGUACCAGAGUAACUGCUGGUACCUUGACGGUACCUAACCAGAAAGCCACGGCUAACUACGUGCCAGCAGCCGCGGUAAUACGUAGGUGGCAAGCGUUGUCCGGAAUUAUUGGGCGUAAAGCGCGCGCAGGUGGUUCUUUAAGUCUGAUGUGAAAGCCCACGGCUCAACCGUGGAGGGUCAUUGGAAACUGGGGAACUUGAGUGCAGAAGAGGAAAGU